GGAGAGAUGGCCGAGCGGCUGAAGGCGCUCCCCUGCUAAGGGAGUAUGGGGUUAAUAGCUCCAUCGAGGGUUCAAAUCCCUCUCUCUCCGCCA
RNAcentral lists this transfer RNA (93 nucleotides) under endosymbiont of Seepiophila jonesi. Its description in RNAcentral is "tRNA-Ser". It matches the Rfam family "tRNA". From Rfam's summary of the family: Transfer RNA (tRNA) molecules are approximately 80 nucleotides in length. Lineage: Bacteria; Pseudomonadati; Pseudomonadota; Gammaproteobacteria. RNAcentral also lists the same sequence under 3 other names. The record is from RNAcentral.